AGUAACGCGUAGGUAACCUACCUCAUAGCGGGGGAUAACUAUUGGAAACGAUAGCUAAUACCGCAUAAGAGAGACUAACGCAUGUUAGUAAUUUAAAAGGGGCAAUUGCUCCACUAUGAGAUGGACCUGCGUUGUAUUAGCUAGUUGGUGAGGUAAAGGCUCACCAAGGCGACAUACAUAGCCGACCUGAGAGGGUGAUCGGCCACACUGGGACUGAGACACGGCCCAG
Molecule: ribosomal RNA, 229 nt
Filed under: uncultured Streptococcaceae bacterium
Lineage: Bacteria; Bacillati; Bacillota; Bacilli; Lactobacillales; Streptococcaceae
Description: partial 16S ribosomal RNA
Rfam family: Bacterial small subunit ribosomal RNA
Source: RNAcentral